UCCUGGUUAGCUCAGAUGGUAGAGCUCUCCACUCGAAACGGAGAGGUCUCUGGUUCGAAACCAGGAAGAGGUG
Molecule: transfer RNA, 73 nt
Filed under: Ixodes scapularis (black-legged tick)
Lineage: Eukaryota; Metazoa; Arthropoda; Arachnida; Ixodida; Ixodidae
Description: tRNA-Ser for anticodon CGA
Rfam family: tRNA
About the family: Transfer RNA (tRNA) molecules are approximately 80 nucleotides in length. Their secondary structure includes four short double-helical elements and three loops (D, anti-codon, and T loops).
Source: RNAcentral